GGGGGGGGGGGGGGGGGGGGGGGGGGGGGGGGGGGGGGGGGGGGGGGGGGGGGGGGGGGGGGGGGGGGGGGGGGGGGGGGGGUGCGGCAGCGGGGGGCGCCCCUGGAGCAGGUACUGGUUACACUGGUUUAUACUGGUUUAUACUGGGAGGGGUGAAAACGGGGGGAUGCGGCCAAAAAAUGGGGAGAGAAAGGGUUGGGAAAGGGUUAAACGGGGAUUUGGGGUUACUGGUUUGGACUGGGAGAGACUGGGGAGGGUUUGGGGGUUACUGGUUUAUACUGGGAAGAGGUUUGGGGGUUACUGGUUUGUACUGGGAUGGAUAGGGAAGGGAUAACUGGGAGUCCAUACUGGUUCAUAUUGGUCCGUACUGGUUUAUACCAGUUUAUACUGGUUUAUACCAAUCCAUACUUGUCCAUACUGGUUUAUACGGGUUCCAUACCAGUCUGUACUGGUCCAUACUGGUCCGUACUGGUUUAUACUGGUCCGUACUGGUCCGCCCUGCUCAGGUGCUCCCGCUCCUGCUGGGGGCGCUGCCGCUCUCGGAGGAUCUCGAGGAGGAGGAGCCGGUUCUGCGCUUCCUGCUGGGGGCGGGGCCUGAGCGGAGGUUUCGCGGUCACCUGCGGUGUUGCGGUGCCUCCCCCGGGCUGGGCACGGCGGUGAGGGGAGUGGCGAGCGCCGGAGGGCAGGUGAGCAGCGGCGAUUUGAGAAACGUUUCAUUCCAAAAAUCAGUUUGGAGUUUGGGAGCGGCUUUUCAAAGGGCUUUCGGAUGAAUUUUGAGGCAAUUUAGGGGUUUUCCCUCAGGAUUGUAGGUGAGCGGUGAGGGCAGCUGAGGAGCGGGAACGAUUCAGGGAGGGAAUUUUAGAAAUAUUUAUUUUUUUUAAUUAUUUUUAAUUUUAGGGCGAUUUUCUCACAAUUUAUAGGAGUUUUUUGGGGGGGACAUUUUAGGCAGGGGGGGGGGGGGGGGGGGGGGGGGGGGGGGGGGGGGGGGGGGGGGGGGGGGGGGGGGGGGGGGGGGGGGGGGGGGGGGGGGGGGGGGGGGGGGGGGGGGGGGGGGGGGGGGGGGGG
This 1065-nucleotide long non-coding RNA is filed under the name Ficedula albicollis (Collared flycatcher). RNAcentral's name for it is "lncRNA (ENSFALG00000025170.1)". The record is from RNAcentral. Lineage: Eukaryota; Metazoa; Chordata; Aves; Passeriformes; Muscicapidae.